RNAcentral lists this long non-coding RNA (1929 nucleotides) under Podarcis lilfordi (Lilford's wall lizard). Lineage: Eukaryota; Metazoa; Chordata; Lepidosauria; Squamata; Lacertidae. The record is from RNAcentral.
AGUCAGUUGAAAGUCAGUUGGAACAGUUGAAAGCCCUUCGGAUUAGCUGACUUUGUGGACAUCUUCUGUCUUCUACCCCCAUGGCACAAUGUGGCGCUGGUUGCACAGAAGGCAAAGUCAUGGGCAAGAGGGGAGGCAGCCUGAAGAUUCAUGCCCCAAGCACAUGACCAGUUUUUAAAGAUGCUCUUUGGUCCUUCGACCUUUCUAAAUCUCACGCUGGGUGUUACGUGAGCCAGCAAUUUCCCCAGGGAGUUUUUCUGGUGAAUUAUCUGAGUUUCCCUUUUUGGUUUACCAUAAGGUUACCAGAUUUUUUUCCAAUGAAUCCGAGGACACUUUUCAACCUCAAUGGAUUUUGUAUGGGGACUGGUUUGUAAAUCCGGGGACUGUCACUGGGAACUGGGGAUGCCUGCUAACAUUCGUUUACCAUCAAAACUGGAGCAGAAUGACUCUCUGCCUCAGGUACAUUUCCGGCAUCUUGAAUCAGUUUCCCAACUCCCACCAGCCCCAGAUAACAGGCCAGGGGGGCAGGGGGAGGGAGUUGGAGUCCCAUAGCAACAUCUGGAAGGCACCACCAUUUGGGGGAGGCUUGAUGUAGAAAACAUCAGGGUAAUUUGGCAUCAUGGCCCUGGGUGAAUGGUCAGGACUUUAUCCUGGCCCUGAUGAGUAGCCAGAAUUAGUCACUCGCUGUCCAAUGUGAAAAGUGGAGGAAAGGACUUUGUUAGUCAUCUGUAGGAGAGCAGCCCUGGGGAUCCGCUCUGCACUCUUUGGAAAAUGAGACGUAACUUGUGGUGCCUUUUGUUUAUUUAAAACGUUGUACAGUGGUACCUCGGGUUACAUACGCUUCAGGUUACAGACUCCACCAACCCAGAAAUAGUGCUUCAGGUUAAGAACUUUGCUUCAGGAUGAGAACAGAAAUCGUGCUCCUGCGGCACGGCGGCAGCAGGAGGCACCCCAAGUAGUGCUUCAGGUUAAGAACAGUUUCAGGUUAAGAAUGGACCUCCGGAACGAAUAAAGUACUUAACCCGAGGUACCACUGUAGUGACUUGGCACAGAGUUAGUUCAGUGAGUUUUUCCUUGAGGAGAGGCAAAAUGCCCUCAAAAUGUGUGUGUGGCUGACAGGCACUUACUGUAUUUUUCGCUCUAUAAGACGCACCCAACCAUAAGAUGCACCUAGUUUUGGAGGAGAACAAGAAAAAAAAAUUCUCUCCCUCUCUGCGCAGCGCCUCUCCAGCAAAGCUUACUUUUUAGGAGGGGAAAAGUGCGUCUUAUAGAGUGAAAAAUAUGGUAAUCUGCAAGGAGGAUGGAGAAGGAGGAGGCACAGAGCAGGGCGGAGAGGCUGGUGGUGACUGGGAGGGUCUUUCUGUGCCUCUUACCUCAGGUCUUAGAAAGAUUUUACUGUGUGAACAACACAGGGGAAAUGCUGCGUUCCCACCCAAGCUGCUUUGCAUGUCGAGGUCCCCCAGGCCACCCCAAAUAACUCACACUUCACACAUCAAUUUUUGUUUAAGGUUUUUGGCAUGAAUUUGGCCACAACUUUAUUUAAAUACACACAUGUGAAUGGUUGCUUAGGCAUUGGUUCCGACUAUCUGUCCUUGUCCAGGGACAGAACUGACUUCCGGAUUCCAGCGGAAGCCAGUGAGGGAAACAAUUUUGGGGAGAAAAUGAAGCUGGGCCUCAGUCCCUCCCUUCUCACCCUCAUGCUCGUGGUGGCUUGCCCGGCCCAAGUCCGAUGCCAGGGAGAAGGAUGAAAAGAAUGGCAAGCCCCUGGAUUCCUUUAACGGAAUUCCCUUGGAGGGGUAGAUACUUACCCCUCCACCAACCAAUUUAAUAAUAAUAAUAAUUGUUAUUUAUACCCCGCCCUCCCCAGCCAAGGCUGGGCUCAGAGCGGCUUACAAGCAAUAAUAAAAACAAGUUGAAUGAUUACAACUU